Long non-coding RNA from Galleria mellonella (greater wax moth), 581 nucleotides. RefSeq lists it as uncharacterized. NCBI's taxonomy places the organism in Eukaryota, Metazoa, Arthropoda, Insecta, Lepidoptera, Pyralidae. The transcript is spliced from 4 exons. The record is from RefSeq and is a predicted model, not a curated record.
GCGUCUUUCCCGGUCGUUAGGCUGUUAGCAAUAAGUACUGGUGUUGGCGUGCCAAAUACUGUCAUGUGAUUGAGAAUCCUAUAUGUGGAAGAGAUCGUCGGCUCAAACGGUACCAAGUAUUUCAGUGCGAGUGUACUAUGUACAAGCACAAUUGUGAAGCUGGCCAUGAUUUUACCGCAACGAGAGAUAACGUAAACAAGUGUUUGAAACGUAAACGUUAAAUAAAAUUAUCCAUCCAUAUAAUCGUUUUUCAUUUAUUUGCAUUAUAAUUAACAGUUAUGCAUACAUUUUCUUGUGAUUAGUUGUUUAAUUAAACAGUGUUUAACAAAUUACAAUGUUGAAUAGAAGUAUUCCUUUGUUAUUGGUUAUCUUUUAUUCUCAAUUUUCAAACGGUAAAAGGGAUGAUAAAGAUCAAUUCGAUGACCCUCGCCUAGUGAAGAAUUUUGCUUUGUAUCACUGCUACAAAUGGAAGAUUUGUACCCCAGCAUCAGACUUCAAAAUCUGUGGCUAUGAUCAGAAAACCAGUAAUCUAGCUGAGUUUGAAGAUCGUUGUACUCUUCAUAAAGUGAAUUGUGAUGGGA